This 248-nucleotide ribosomal RNA is filed under the name uncultured bacterium. RNAcentral describes it as "partial 16S ribosomal RNA". It matches the Rfam family "Bacterial small subunit ribosomal RNA", at positions 524 to 769 of the family's 1533-position model. The record is from RNAcentral.
UACGUAGGGGGCAAGCGUUGUCCGGAAUCAUUGGGCGUAAAGCGCGUGUAGGCGGCCAGGUAAGUCCGUUCUGAAAGCCCGGGGCUCAACCCCGGGAGGCGGAUGGAUACUGCUUGGCUCGAGUCCGGAAGAGGCGAGUGGAAUUCCCGGUGUAGCGGUGAAAUGCGCAGAGUAUCGGGAAGGAACACCAAUGGCGAAGGCAGCUCUCUGGGCCCUACCUGACGCUGAGACGCGAAAGCGUGGGGAGC